AACGGGAUUAUCGCAAUAAACCGUCGGUGGUUUGCUCCCAUCGGAGCUCCCGAGAAGCAGGUGGUUCGGUGUUAGAGGCUGAGCCAUUUCGUCGUCCAGGGGCACGUAGGUCGUCUGGGGAAGAUACACUGAUUAAGCACCUUCUUUACGGAACGUACCAAACGCUCCCAGCAGCCGCCGAAAUGAGGUGCUCCAGGCGGGAUGAAGGUCCAUUUCAUUUUAGGUCCACAAAACUCCGUCAUCAGGGCGUCGUGAUCAACCUCCUCCAACACUUCUCUCAGCUCGCGCGAGGCUCCGACGAAGUUGGUACCUCUAUCGCUGAUCAUUUCCAGAGGCAUACCGCGUCUGGCGAUGAACCGUCGAAUCGCCAAUAUGCACGACGCCGUGGUGAGGGAAGCUGCUACCUCGAGAUGGACAGCUCUCGACGUCAAGCAGGUAGCUAGGACUCCCCAUCGUUUCUCUUCUCUUCGACCGACGACCACUAAAAACGGGCCGAAAUAGUCGAUACCUGUGAAUGAAAAGGCACGCUGAGCAAUUGCGACACGUUGUGGCGACAAGCGUACCGCUUUAGCGCCAUGGCUUUGUUGCAAGGCAGAUUUACGCAGUCGUACCGCCAUAAAAGUCCCGUCUCGUAUCGCUGCCCGUCGAACUUCGUCUCUCGCUCAAGUAUGGUCAACGCC
Anopheles gambiae (African malaria mosquito) is the source of this 680-nucleotide long non-coding RNA. RefSeq lists it as uncharacterized. The record is from RefSeq and is a predicted model, not a curated record. Lineage: Eukaryota; Metazoa; Arthropoda; Insecta; Diptera; Culicidae. The transcript has 3 exons.